Long non-coding RNA from Alligator mississippiensis (American alligator), 2485 nucleotides. RefSeq lists it as uncharacterized. Lineage: Eukaryota; Metazoa; Chordata; Crocodylia; Alligatoridae. The record is from RefSeq and is a predicted model, not a curated record. The transcript is spliced from 3 exons.
CGUUUUCAGGCCUAUCACACAUCUCUAUCUGAUACUGGAAGUUGACUAGCGUGAAUAGACUCUUCUCCUCUCCCUCAAUUCCUCCCUCCCUCCUUCUCCUCCCAAAAAUGAAAAAUCCUUGGAAGCAAAAGAGGUAAUUUAAGAUUGAAAUUUUGCUUGAAGAUGGAAAGAGAGGAGGGAAGUACAGUGGAGGGUUUGAUAAUACAGCUCAGAGACACACUUUAGACACAACUGUCUCCGUUCCUGCCAAGUCACAGAGACUACACUGACUAGAUCCUUCAUUUUCUACUACUUCCAGAAGUGGACCACUCCAGUAAGAUCAAGGAUUUCAUGCCAGUUUCAGACACCCUUUCAUAUUCAGCUGGAUGAUAAGAACAGCAGUGGACUUCAGGCUUCCACCAGUACUUCUCCACUGAGACCAGUGGAAUAUUAGGCUACCCCAACACACUCAGUAUCAGUGCUGUUGAGCAACAAGGUGAAAUCAGGUAAUACUGCCAACCCCACAACCAUCAUGAAGCACAGUAAGGAGACUGAAGAGGUUCAUGGUUUCUCAAUCCGUUCUUCCUUCUGGAUCACCCGUAAAGACCACCUUCUCCUAAUCUUGGGCUAGACCUCUGCACAUGCAGUCAGACUGAGCUCUUGCAGCUUGUCUUGGGGAAGGGAUCCUGCCAAGUCAAAGUUUUAUUUCAUCCAUAACCUGAAGGGUUGCAGCUGUAGCUUGAUAAAGCUUUUGAGGCCAUAGACAGACAUUUUGGAGCACUUUAAAAUGCCACUGUACUUUGAAGCACCUCAAGAAGUUGCUGUUUCAUCCACUAACAUUUUUAGUGCUACAUAGGCAUGGGUGGAUCUAGGAUUUUGAAAAGGGGGAGGGGGGAGUGCAUAUUAUACUCCAGUUAGAGAAACUAGAUACUUUAAUAAUGUGCUAGGGGGCUAGCAUUACAUGAUUCAUUUAAGACUAAAGCAAAAACAAAUAUAACUAUUGGAAUGUGCACUAAUUUGCUAGGUUAUAUAUAAAAAUUUAAAAGACAAGGAACUAGCCAAAAUAGUGAAAAAAUAUUGUGGCAUUAUUCCCAUAGUCAUGAUAGUUAAAUGUACGCUGCUUACUCAGAUUCAUAAAACAAAAUCUGGUCUUCUUGAGCAUCUUGACAGUGCCUCCAGUACUUCACUGUCAGUCAUUUCUAUGUCUGAGUUAAUAUUACCACACCUGAGAUCAGGCUUUUAGCUAAUUUGUGUGCAGCAGGAAUCAAAGAAGGGUGCAGCUGCAGUCAUCCUGGUACUGCCCUUGUACAUAUGGCAUGUAGCAUAUCAUUACAAAUGUUGCAUCUGUCCAGGACCUGAGUGUAUAAAUACCGGUGUAGAAUCUCAGGGCACUGGGACUCACAAAUUCUUAUGUGAGUGGUACAAGAGGUAGACCAUGGCAUCCUUAGGCAGUGUGUAGUUUUUCUGAUGCUGUGGUGUGAGGUGUCUGCUAUACACAGUGUCCUCUAUCUACCAAAACAGGUUGUAAAGCCAUGGCAAUCCUCUUGAAUCAUAUCUCUUACAUUCAGAGCUCCUUUCUAUAACUGUGGUGUAGCAGGCAGCCAUUGGUGGAACUGCUGAACAGCUGCAGAAGGAGAAGCAGGGCAGCUGCUCAGGGCACUGCUUGCUAAAUAAACGUAGCCACAUAGAACGUGUCCAGAUGAGCGCGCACGUGCCUCUUGCCCCAUCUCAAACCCCUUUGAGGUGGGGCAAGAGGCAUGUGCAGGAAUGAAAAAAGGUUCCCCGCGCUGCAAGUUUGCAGUGCGGUGAGAAAAUUAGGCCCCUGGAUAUCCAAGGGUCUAAAAAAAAUGUUUUGCAGAAGAGCAGAACAAGACACGGUCCCAGACCAUACCAGGGAGUCAGUCCUCCAAAAGAGAUGCUCUGGUGUCAGCCAGAGUGUCUCUUUUGUUCUCCUGAUGACUCCAGCCCCCAGCGCUCUCCAAGGUAAGUGUGUGUGACUCGCACCGGUACAAAGCCAGACUAGUGAGACAUAUGGGGCUGGCCUAGGUCCCGCCACGUGCCACCCCCCUGCAGGCACAGCGAGGCAGAGGCAGGACCCAGCAUGGUGCACAGGGACUACACUCCGUGCUCAGCUAGGUCUUGCCAGCCCUGGGGCCCCUCUGCUGUCCGGCUGGGCCAGGCUUUUGUUGGCAGGACCCAAAGUGGCAUGCGGGAACCGCGUGCCAGGCCCAGCCGGGUCCUGCUGCCCUUGUGGCCCCUCUAAUGCCCAGCUGGGCCAGGCCCAUGGCGGUCACUCCGGGUCCUGCCGCCAUGGGUCCAGCCUGGCCGGGAGGCAAAGAGGCCCCAGGGCCGGCAGGACCCAGCUGGGCCCAACGCGUGGUCCCCACAUGCUGUGCCAGGUCCUGCCGCCAUGGCUCAGAGCGCCCCACUCCCGCUGCUGCUGCUAAAGGUAAGUUAUGGGCCCUGGGCAGGGGAGCUGUGGCCCUCCAAGGUGCCUGGGACCCUG